GAUGAACGCUGGCGGCGUGCCUAAUACAUGCAAGUCGAGCGAACAGACGAGGAGCUUGCUCCUCUGACGUUAGCGGCGGACGGGUGAGUAACACGUGGAUAACCUACCUAUAAGACUGGGAUAACUUCGGGAAACCGGAGCUAAUACCGGAGAAUAUAUUGAACCGCAGGGUUCAAUAGUGAAAGACGGUUUUGCUGUCACUUAUAGAUGGAUCCGCGCCGCAUUAGCUAGUUGGUAAGGUAACGGCUUACCAAGGCAACGAUGCGUAGCCGACCUGAGAGGGUGAUCGGCCACACUGGAACUGAGACACGGUCCAGACUCCUACGGGAGGCAGCAGUAGGGAAUCUUCCGCAAUGGGCGAAAGCCUGACGGAGCCACGCCGCGUGAGUGAUGAAGGUCUUCGGAUCGUAAAACCCUGUUAUUAGGGAAGAACAAAUGUGUAAGUAACUAUGCACGUCUUGACGGUACCUAAUCAGAAAGCCACGGCUAACUACGUG
This 497-nucleotide ribosomal RNA is filed under the name uncultured bacterium. RNAcentral's name for it is "partial 16S ribosomal RNA". It matches the Rfam family "Bacterial small subunit ribosomal RNA", at positions 28 to 507 of the family's 1533-position model. The record is from RNAcentral.